This 253-nucleotide ribosomal RNA is filed under the name uncultured bacterium. Its description in RNAcentral is "partial 16S ribosomal RNA". It matches the Rfam family "Bacterial small subunit ribosomal RNA", at positions 524 to 776 of the family's 1533-position model. The record is from RNAcentral.
UACAGAGGGGGCAAGCGUUGUUCGGAAUUAUUGGGCGUAAAGCGCGUGUAGGCGGCUUGGCAAGUCGGGUGUGAAAGCCCUCAGCUCAACUGAGGAAGUGCGCCCGAAACUGCUUUGCUUGAGUACCGGAGAGGGUGGCGGAAUUCCCCAAGUAGAGGUGAAAUUCGUAGAUAUGGGGAGGAACACCGGUGGCGAAGGCGGCCACCUGGACGGAUACUGACGCUGAGACGCGAAAGCGUGGGGAGCAAACAGG